Long non-coding RNA from Etheostoma cragini (Arkansas darter), 164 nucleotides. RefSeq lists it as uncharacterized. NCBI's taxonomy places the organism in Eukaryota, Metazoa, Chordata, Actinopteri, Perciformes, Percidae. The record is from RefSeq and is a predicted model, not a curated record. The transcript has 3 exons.
GUCUGAUAACCGAAAAUGACAUCACUUUACUGUAAUGUAGCUUUUAAAACCAGGAAAGGACAACACUUAAGCCAUUUCCAGCUUUAUGAUUUCCAAAAUUUAAGGCAAUAUCUAGUCUCAUAUAUCACGAUAUCGAUAUAAUAUCAAUAUAUUGCCCUACCCUA